CCUACGGGAGACAGCAGUGGGGGAUAUUGCACAAUGGGGGAAACCCUGAUGCAGCGACGCCGCGUGUGGGAAGACGGUCCUCUGGAUUGUAAACCACUGUCCCCAGGGACGAAGAUGACUGUACCUGGGGAGGAAGCUCCGGCUAACUACGUGCCAGCAGCCGCGGUAAUACGUAGGGAGCGAGCGUUGUCCGGAAUUACUGGGUGAAAAGGGAGCGUAGGCGGGACUGCAAGUUGGGUGUCAAAUCUACCGGCUCAACCGGUAGCCGCACUCAAAACUGCAGUUCUUGAGUGAAGUAGAGGCAGGCGGAAUUCCUAGUGUAGCGGUGAAAUGCGUAGAUAUUAGGAGGAACACCAGUGGCGAAGGCGGCCUGCUGGGCUUUUACUGACGCUGAGGCUCGAAAGUGUGGGGAGCAAACAUGAUUAGAUACCCCUGUAGUC
RNAcentral lists this ribosomal RNA (440 nucleotides) under uncultured bacterium. RNAcentral describes it as "partial 16S ribosomal RNA". It matches the Rfam family "Bacterial small subunit ribosomal RNA", at positions 338 to 795 of the family's 1533-position model. The record is from RNAcentral.